RNAcentral lists this ribosomal RNA (253 nucleotides) under uncultured bacterium. RNAcentral's name for it is "partial 16S ribosomal RNA". It matches the Rfam family "Bacterial small subunit ribosomal RNA", at positions 524 to 776 of the family's 1533-position model. The record is from RNAcentral.
UACGUAGGGUGCAAGCGUUGUCCGGAAUUAUUGGGCGUAAAGAGCUCGUAGGCGGUUUGUCGCGUCUGCUGUGAAAACCCGAGGCUCAACCUCGGGCCUGCAGUGGGUACGGGCAGACUAGAGUACGGUAGGGGAGAUUGGAAUUCCUGGUGUAGCGGUGGAAUGCGCAGAUAUCAGGAGGAACACCAAUGGCGAAGGCAGAUCUCUGGGCCGUAACUGACGCUGAGGAGCGAAAGCAUGGGGAGCGAACAGG